RNAcentral lists this ribosomal RNA (333 nucleotides) under Triticum aestivum (bread wheat). Its description in RNAcentral is "partial small subunit ribosomal RNA". Lineage: Eukaryota; Viridiplantae; Streptophyta; Magnoliopsida; Poales; Poaceae. The record is from RNAcentral.
AUGGCGCCUCGCCCUGCAGCAGCAACCGGCAUCGCCAUGACCACCGUUGUAGCGCUGCUCGUGGUCGUCGUCGUGGCCUGCGUGACGACGGUCCAGGCCUUCGACGGGACGACGACGCUGGGCCUGCAGGGGCAGUGCGCGGCGGACGAGCAGGAACUGGUCGGCAGGAAGCCGAGCGCCAGGUACAUCAGCUACGCGGCGCUGCGGGCCGACGCGAUCCCGUGCGACAAGCGCGGGCAGUCCUACUACACCAACUGCGGGUCGAUGCAGCAGGCCAACCCCUACACGCGCGGCUGCUCCGCCAUCACGCGCUGCGCCCGCAACAUGAACUGA